GAAGAAGAGGCGUGAACCACACACUUCAUGCCUCCUGGGUUUCAUGUCUGGGGCAGGAAAGGCUUCUAGGGUGAAGUCAGACCUGACCUCGGCGAAGGAACAGCUGAAGCUUCUAGAAUGUGGUCAGACCUGAGCGGCAAGGUUUGAAGCCAGCCUGGGCUACUGAGAGCCUCGUCAAAAAACCACCUCACCCACCUUCCUCCAUCAGUGGUUCAGCUACCUUCUGAAACUACAGGUGGUGCUCACAAAGAAUCCUUCCAAGGGCUUCCCAUCAAAAACCGGUCAAUUUCCUCCAGUCUUCCAGCCCAUCCUAGCUCUGAGUAGUCCUCGCCUGGAUUUCACGUCUCUGUUACCACUCUCCUGAGAGCAGGGCCUCUUUCUUCUUCAUGGUCAGGUUCAGGUGAGCACCCACUGGACAUCGGAUGAAAGGAUACGAAGGGAAGAAAGAAGGGACGCAAGAUGUUUAAGGCAAGGCUGGCUGGCACCAGCAGGAAUGGCUACAAGGUCACAGUGGUUUGACAGGGAGCCAGAUGUUUUCUCAAG
RNAcentral lists this long non-coding RNA (543 nucleotides) under Mus spicilegus (steppe mouse). Its description in RNAcentral is "lncRNA (ENSMSIG00000021373.1)". The record is from RNAcentral. Lineage: Eukaryota; Metazoa; Chordata; Mammalia; Rodentia; Muridae.